GGGAGGUAGUGACAAUAAAUAACAAUACGGGGUUCUUUCGGAUCUCGUAAUUGGAAUGAGUACAAUUUAAAUCUCUUAACGAGGAACAAUUGGAGGGCGAGUCUGGUGCCAGCAGCCGCGGUAAUUCCAGCUCCAAUAGCGUAUAUUAAAGUUGUUGCAGUUAAAAAGCUCGUAGUUGAAUUUCGGAGUUAGCAGGUCGGUCGUGCCACUGGUACGUACUGGUCUUGCUGAUUCCUCCCUCUUGAGGAGCCGUAAUGCCAUUAAUUUGGUGUUGCGGGGAAUUUGGACUGUUACUUUGAAAAAAUUAGAGUGUUUAAAGCAAGCUAACGCUUGAAUACAUUAGCAUGGAAUAAUGAAAUAGGACGUUCGAUCCUAUUUUGUUGGUUUCUAGGAUUGACGUAAUGAUUAAUAGGGAUAGUGGGG
Molecule: ribosomal RNA, 423 nt
Filed under: uncultured Glomeraceae
Lineage: Eukaryota; Fungi; Glomeromycota; Glomeromycetes; Glomerales; Glomeraceae
Description: SSU rRNA
Rfam family: Eukaryotic small subunit ribosomal RNA
Source: RNAcentral